ACUUAAAUAGCUUAUACAGAGCAUAAUAUUGAAGAUAUUAGGGUAAAUGAUUGAUUUUUUAAGUA
RNAcentral lists this transfer RNA (65 nucleotides) under Staphylinidae sp. BMNH 1274633. RNAcentral's name for it is "tRNA-Phe". Lineage: Eukaryota; Metazoa; Arthropoda; Insecta; Coleoptera; Staphylinidae. The record is from RNAcentral.